RNAcentral lists this non-coding RNA (132 nucleotides) under Variovorax sp. PAMC 28711. RNAcentral describes it as "ZMP/ZTP riboswitch aptamer (pfl RNA motif)". It matches the Rfam family "ZMP/ZTP riboswitch aptamer (pfl RNA motif)". From Rfam's summary of the family: Previously known as pfl RNA. ZMP is also known as AICAR. RNAcentral also lists the same sequence under 1 other name. Lineage: Bacteria; Pseudomonadati; Pseudomonadota; Betaproteobacteria; Burkholderiales; Comamonadaceae. The record is from Rfam by way of RNAcentral.
CGCCGGGCACGCGACUGGCGAUAGGCACACCCCCUCUUGAAGGUAUUUGUGCUGACGUGGAACACCACUGGGAAGCGUGCCGCCUGCGGGAUUUCUUGAGCAGGCGUUCAGCCGUUCGCCUGGGCAGCCCUU